RNAcentral lists this ribosomal RNA (489 nucleotides) under uncultured bacterium. RNAcentral's name for it is "partial 16S ribosomal RNA". The record is from RNAcentral.
GUAGUUAGCCGGGGCUUUCUUUUCGGGUACCGUCAUUAUCGUCCCCGAAGACAGAAGUUUACAAUCCGAAGACCUUCUUCCUUCACGCGGCGUUGCUGGGUCAGGCUUGCGCCCAUUGCCCAAUAUUCCCCACUGCUGCCUCCCGUAGGAGUUUGGGCCGUGUCUCAGUCCCAAUGUGGCCGAUCACCCUCUCAGGUCGGCUACCCAUCGUCGCCUUGGUGGGCUGUUAUCCCGCCAACUAGCUAAUGGGACGCGAGUCCCCCCUGUACCGAUAAAUCUUUGACCCCUGUGCCAUGCGGCACUGUGGUCUUAUGCGGUAUUAGCAGCUGUUUCCGGCUGUUAUCCCCCUGUACAGGACAGAUUACUCACGCGUUACUCACCCGUCCGCCGCUAAGGUAUUUCUAAAGCAAGCUUCUUCCAUACCCUCGCUCGACUUGCAUGUGUUAGGCACGCCGCCAGCGUUCGUCCUGAGCCAGGAUCAAACUCUGA